AGUGAACGCUGGCGGUAGGCCUAACACAUGCAAGUCGAACGGCAGCACAGUAAGAGCUUGCUCUUACGGGUGGCGAGUGGCGGACGGGUGAGGAAUACAUCGGAAUCUACUUUUUCGUGGGGGAUAACGUAGGGAAACUUACGCUAAUACCGCAUACGACCUACGGGUGAAAGCAGGGGAUCUUCGGACCUUGCGCGAUUGAAUGAGCCGAUGUCGGAUUAGCUAGUUGGCGGGGUAAAGGCCCACCAAGGCGACGAUCCGUAGCUGGUCUGAGAGGAUGAUUCGGCCAACUUGGAAUUGGACAACGUCCCGACUCCUAAGGGGAGGAGCAGGGGGGAAUAGUUGAAAAUGGGGCGAAACCUGAAUCCAGCAAUACCGGGGGGUUAAAGAAGGCUUCCGGGUGGUAAAGCCUUUUUGUUGGGAAAAAAAGCAGGAAGGUUAAUACCCCGUGGUUCGGAGGGAACCAAAAGAUAAAGCACCGGCAACCUUCUG
Molecule: ribosomal RNA, 492 nt
Filed under: uncultured bacterium
Lineage: Bacteria
Description: partial 16S ribosomal RNA
Rfam family: Bacterial small subunit ribosomal RNA
Source: RNAcentral